GAACCGUCCAAACGUUAUUCGGAAUCACUGGGCUUAAAGGGUACGUAGGCGGCUUGGGAAAGUUGGGUGUGAAAUCCCUCGGCUCAACCGAGGAACUGCACUCAAAACUGCCAGGCUUGAGGGAGAUAGAGGUAAGCGGAACUCAGGGUGGAGCGGUGGAAUGCGUUGAUAUCCUGGGGAACACCAGUUGCGAAGGCGGCUUACUGGGUCUCUUCUGACGCUGAGGUACGAAAGCUAGGGGAGCGAACGGGAUUAGAUACCCCGGUAGUCCUAGCUGUAAACGUUGAGCACUGGAUCGGAGGAUUUCGGUUUUCCGGUCGUAGCGAAAGUGUUAAGUGCUCCGCCUGGGGAGUAUGGUCGCAAGGCUG
RNAcentral lists this ribosomal RNA (368 nucleotides) under uncultured organism. RNAcentral describes it as "partial 16S ribosomal RNA". It matches the Rfam family "Bacterial small subunit ribosomal RNA", at positions 527 to 896 of the family's 1533-position model. The record is from RNAcentral.